RNAcentral lists this ribosomal RNA (400 nucleotides) under uncultured bacterium. RNAcentral's name for it is "bacterial SSU rRNA". It matches the Rfam family "Bacterial small subunit ribosomal RNA", at positions 43 to 445 of the family's 1533-position model. The record is from RNAcentral.
CAGGCCUAACACAUGCAAGUCGAACGGUUUUGAGUACUUGUACUUGAGAUAGUGGCGAACGGGUGAGUAAUGCCUAGGAAUCUGCCGAUUAAUGGGGGACAACGUUUCGAAAGGAACGCUAAUACCGCAUACGCCCUACGGGGGAAAGCAGGGGAUCACUUGUGACCUUGCGUUAAUUGAUGAGCCUAGGUCAGAUUAGCUAGUUGGUGAGGUAAAGGCUCACCAAGGCGACGAUCUGUAGCGGGUCUGAGAGGAUGAUCCGCCACACUGGAACUGAGACACGGUCCAGACUCCUACGGGAGGCAGCAGUGGGGAAUAUUGGACAAUGGGGGCAACCCUGAUCCAGCCAUGCCGCGUGAGUGAUGAAGGCCCUAGGGUUGUAAAGCUCUUUCACCGGUGA